RNAcentral lists this ribosomal RNA (160 nucleotides) under Tremella huuskonenii. Its description in RNAcentral is "5.8S ribosomal RNA". It matches the Rfam family "5.8S ribosomal RNA". Rfam says of the family: 5.8S ribosomal RNA (5.8S rRNA) is a component of the large subunit of the eukaryotic ribosome. It is transcribed by RNA polymerase I as part of the 45S precursor that also contains 18S and 28S rRNA. Functionally, it is thought that 5.8S rRNA may be involved in ribosome translocation. Lineage: Eukaryota; Fungi; Basidiomycota; Tremellomycetes; Tremellales; Tremellaceae. The record is from RNAcentral.
AAACUUUCAACAACGGAUCUCUUGGCUCUCGCAUCGAUGAAGAACGCAGCGAAAUGCGAUAAGUAAUGUGAAUUGCAGAAUUCAGUGAAUCAUCGAAUCUUUGAACGCACCUUGCGCCUUUCGGUAUUCCGGAAGGCAUGCCUGUUUGAGUGUCAUGAAA